RNAcentral lists this transfer RNA (76 nucleotides) under Escherichia coli. Its description in RNAcentral is "tRNA-Phe". It matches the Rfam family "tRNA". Rfam says of the family: Transfer RNA (tRNA) molecules are approximately 80 nucleotides in length. The record is from RNAcentral. Lineage: Bacteria; Pseudomonadati; Pseudomonadota; Gammaproteobacteria; Enterobacterales; Enterobacteriaceae.
GGCCAAGUAGCUCAGUUGGUAGAGCAGCGGAUUGAAAAUCCGCGUGUCGGUGGUUCGAUUCCGCCCUUGGCCACCC